UUUUAAAUGGCCGCAGUAUUUUGACUGUGCAAAGGUAGCAUAAUCAUUAGUUUUUUAAUUAAAAGCUUGUAUGAAAGGCUGGACGAGGUAAAAUCUGUCUCUAUUUAAAUUAUAGUAGAAUUUAACUUUUAAGUUAAAAGGCUUAAAUAUUAUUAAAAGACGAGAAGACCCUAUAGAUCUUUAUAGUUUAUUAAAUUAAAUUAAUUUAGAAAUAUUAAUGUUUUAUUUAAUUAAAUUAUUUUAUUGGGGUAAUAAAAAGAUUGAGUUAAUUCUUUUUUACAAUAAACAUUAAUUUAUGAAUAUUAAUGAUCCAGUUUUACUGAUUAUAAGAUUAAGUUACCUUAGGGAUAACAGCGUAAUUUUUUUAGAGAGUUCAUAUCGAUAAAAAAGUUUGCGACCUCGAUGUUGGAUUAAAGAUUAUUUUAGGUGCAGAAGCUUAAUAAUUUUGGUCUGUUCGACCAUUAAAUCUUUACAUGAUCUGAGUUCAGACCGGCGUAAGCCAGGUCGGUUUCUAUCUUUAAUAAAAUAAAAUAUUUUAGUACGAAAGGACCAAAUAUUUGAUAUAUUUAUAUUUAAUUUAUUGAAUAUUA
RNAcentral lists this ribosomal RNA (590 nucleotides) under Carabus lusitanicus lusitanicus. RNAcentral's name for it is "partial large subunit ribosomal RNA". It matches the Rfam family "Bacterial large subunit ribosomal RNA", at positions 1921 to 2748 of the family's 2925-position model. The record is from RNAcentral. Lineage: Eukaryota; Metazoa; Arthropoda; Insecta; Coleoptera; Carabidae.